RNAcentral lists this ribosomal RNA (649 nucleotides) under Clavaria asterospora. RNAcentral describes it as "eukaryotic LSU rRNA". The stretch from base 233 to 386 matches the Rfam family "5.8S ribosomal RNA". Lineage: Eukaryota; Fungi; Basidiomycota; Agaricomycetes; Agaricales; Clavariaceae. The record is from RNAcentral.
CUUGGUCAUUUAGAGGAAGUAAAAGUCGUAACAAGGUUUCCGUAGGUGAACCUGCGGAAGGAUCAUUAUCGAUUCUUUGAGGAUGUGCUGGCUUCUUGUUUGAGAAGCAAUUGUGCACUCUGAAAACCACUUCAUUCACCUGUGCACCCCAUUGUAGACAGGGAGAAAUCCUUUGUCUAUGAUUUUUUAAUUCACACAUUUUAUUGAUAUCAUGAAUAAAUAUAAACAAUACAACUUUCAACAAUGGAUCUCUUGGUUCUCGCAUCGAUGAAGAACGCAGCGAAUUGCGAUAUGUAAUGUGAAUUGCAGAAUUCAGUGAAUCAUCGAAUCUUUGAACGCACAUUGCACCCUCUGGUAAUCCAGAGGGUAUGCCUGUUUGAGUGUCAUUAGAAAUAUCAAAUCCAGAUUUUGCUCUGUGAUUUGGACUUUGAAGGCUUUGCUGACUGUUAAAGUCAGCUCCUUUUAAAUGCAUUAGCAGGUUGCAAACAACUGGCCCCAGUUUGAUAGACUUUAAUCAUCUGUGCUGUCGCUAGUAGUUUUGACCGCUGCAAAUUGUCUUUGGACUUGCCGUCAGGCAAUACAUUUUAAGUCUUGACCUCAAAUCAGGUAGGAUUACCCGCUGAACUUAAGCAUAUCAAUAAGCGGAGGA